GAUGAACGCUGGCGGCGUGCCUAAUACAUGCAAGUCGAGCGAACAGACGAGGAGCUUGCUCCUCUGACGUUAGCGGCGGACGGGUGAGUAACACGUGGAUAACCUACCUAUAAGACUGGGAUAACUUCGGGAAACCGGAGCUAAUACCGGAUAAUAUAUUGAACCGCAUGGUUCAAUAGUGAAAGACGGCUUUGCUGUCACUUAUAGAUGGAUCCGCGCCGCAUUAGCUAGUUGGUAAGGUAACGGCUUACCAAGGCAACGAUGCGUAGCCGACCUGAGAGGGUGAGCGGCCACACUGGAACUGAGACACGGUCCAGAACCCUACGGGAGGCAGCAGUAGGGAAUCUUCCGCAAGGGGCGAAAGCCUGACGGAGCAACGCCGCGUGAGUGAUGAAGGUCUUCGGAUCGUAAAACUCUGUUAUUAGGGAAGAAAAAAUGUGUAAGUAAAUAUGCACGUCUUGACGGUACCUAAGCAGAAAGCCACGGCUAACUACGG
This 496-nucleotide ribosomal RNA is filed under the name uncultured bacterium. RNAcentral describes it as "partial 16S ribosomal RNA". It matches the Rfam family "Bacterial small subunit ribosomal RNA", at positions 28 to 506 of the family's 1533-position model. The record is from RNAcentral.